GACGAACCGUGCGAACGUUGUUCGGAAUCAUUGGGCUUAAAGGGUGCGUAGGCGGGUGUUCAAGUCCGGGGUGAAAGCCUCCAGCUCAACUGGAGAAGCGCCUCGAAUACUGUUCAUCUCGAGAGAGGUAGGGGCACAUGGAACUUCCGGUGGAGCGGUGAAAUGCGUAGAGAUCGGAAGGAACGCCGGUGGCGAAAGCGAUGUGCUGGAUCUUUUCUGACGCUGAGGCACGAAAGCCAGGGGAGCAAACGGGAUUAGAUACCCCGGUAGUCCUGGCCCUAAACGAUGGGUACUGGGUUGCGGGUCGGACAUAGACUCGCAGCCGAAGCAAAAGUGGUAAGUACCCCGCCUGGGGAGUAUGGUCGCAAGGCUG
This 373-nucleotide ribosomal RNA is filed under the name uncultured prokaryote. RNAcentral's name for it is "bacterial SSU rRNA". It matches the Rfam family "Bacterial small subunit ribosomal RNA", at positions 524 to 896 of the family's 1533-position model. The record is from RNAcentral.